CCGUAACUAUAACGGUCCUAAGGUAGCGAAAUUCCUUGUCGGGUAAGUUCCGACCUGCACGAAUGGCGUAAUGAUGGCCAGGCUGUCUCCACCCGAGACUCAGUGAAAUUGAACUCGCUGUGAAGAUGCAGUGUACCCGCGGCAAGACGGAAAGACCCCGUGAACCUUUACUAUAGCUUGACACUGAACACUGGUCCUUGAUGUGUAGGAUAGGUGGGAGGCUUUGAAGUGUGGACGCCAGUCUGCAUGGAGCCGUCCUUGAAAUACCACCCUUUAAUGGCUGGUGUUCUAACGUAGACCCGUAAUCCGGGUUGCGGACAGUGUCUGGGGGGUAGUUUGACUGGGGCGGUCUCCUCCCAAAGAGGAACGGAGGAGCACGAAGGUUAGCUAAUCCUGGUCGGACAUCAGGAGGUUAGUGCAAUGGCAUAAGCUAGCUUGACUGCGAGAGUGACGGCUCGAGCAGGUGCGAAAGCAGGUCAUAGUGAUCCGGUGGUUCUGAAUGGAAGGGCCAUCGCUCAACGGAUAAAAGGUACUCCGGGGAUAACAGGCUGAUACCGCCCAAGAGUUCAUAUCGACGGCGGUGUUUGGCACCUCGAUGUCGGCUCAUCACAUCCUGGGGCUGAAGUAGGUCCCAAGGGUAUGGCUGUUCGCCAUUUAAAGUGGUACGCGAGCUGGGUUUAGAACGUCGUGAGACAGUUCGGUCCCUAUCUGCCGUGGGCGCUGGAGAAUUGAGGGGGGCUGCUCCUAGUACGAGAGGACCGGAGUGGACGCAUCACUGGUGUUCGGGUUGUCAUGCCAAUGGCACUGCCCGGUAGCUAAAUGCGGAAAAGAUAAGUGCUGAAAGCAUCUAAGCACGAAACUUGCCCCGAGAUGAGUUCUCCCUGAGACUUUAAGUCUCCUGAAGGAACGUUGAAGACGACGACGUUGAUAGGUCGGGUGUGUAAGCGCAGCGAUGCGUUGAGCUAACCGAUACUAAUGAACCGUGAGGCUUAACCUU
RNAcentral lists this ribosomal RNA (997 nucleotides) under human gut metagenome. RNAcentral describes it as "bacterial LSU rRNA". It matches the Rfam family "Bacterial large subunit ribosomal RNA", at positions 1934 to 2925 of the family's 2925-position model. The record is from RNAcentral.